RNAcentral lists this transfer RNA (76 nucleotides) under Pseudomonadota bacterium. RNAcentral describes it as "tRNA-Thr". It matches the Rfam family "tRNA". From Rfam's summary of the family: Transfer RNA (tRNA) molecules are approximately 80 nucleotides in length. The record is from RNAcentral. RNAcentral also lists the same sequence under 3 other names. Lineage: Bacteria; Pseudomonadati; Pseudomonadota.
GCCGGCAUAGCUCAGUUGGUAGAGCGGCGCAUUCGUAAUGCGUAGGUCGGGGGUUCAAAUCCCUCUGCCGGCACCA